This 627-nucleotide ribosomal RNA is filed under the name uncultured bacterium. Its description in RNAcentral is "bacterial SSU rRNA". It matches the Rfam family "Bacterial small subunit ribosomal RNA", at positions 202 to 829 of the family's 1533-position model. The record is from RNAcentral.
UAAAGAUUCAUCGCUGAUAGAUAGGCAUGCGUUCCAUUAGGCAGUUGGCGGGGUAACGGCCCACCAAACCGACGAUGGAUAGGGGUUCUGAGAGGAAGGUCCCCCACAUUGGUACUGAGACACGGACCAAACUCCUACGGGAGGCAGCAGUGAGGAAUAUUGGUCAAUGGGCGCGAGCCUGAACCAGCCAAGUCGCGUGAGGGAUGAAGGUUCUAUGGAUCGUAAACCUCUUUUAUAAGGGAAUAAAGUGUGGGACGUGUCCUAUUUUGUAUGUACCUUAUGAAUAAGGAUCGGCUAACUCCGUGCCAGCAGCCGCGGUAAUACGGAGGAUCCGAGCGUUAUCCGGAUUUAUUGGGUUUAAAGGGUGCGUAGGCGGCCUUUUAAGUCAGCGGUGAAAGUCUGUGGCUCAACCAUAGAAUUGCCGUUGAAACUGGGGGGCUUGAGUAUGUUUGAGGCAGGCGGAAUGCGUGGUGUAGCGGUGAAAUGCUUAGAUAUCACGCAGAACCCCGAUUGCGAAGGCAGCCUGCCAAGCCAUGACUGACGCUGAUGCACGAAAGCGUGGGGAUCAAACAGGAUUAGAUACCCUGGUAGUCCACGCAGUAAAAGAUGAUCACUAGCUGUUUGCGA